GUUUGAUCCUGGCUCAGGAUGAACGCUGGCGGCAGGCCUAAUACAUGCAAGUCGAACGGGAUCUUGAGUAGCAAUACUUGAGUGAGAGUGGCGCACGGGUGCGUAACACGUAUGCAACCUACCUUUAACUGGUACAUAACAUUUCGAAAGGGGUGCUAAUAUACCAUGUGAUUAUUGAGAGGCAUCUUUUGAUAAUUAAAGAUUAAUUGGUUAAAGCUGGGCAUGCGUCCCAUUAGCUAGUUGGUGAGGUAACGGCUCCCCAAGGCGACGAUGGGUAGGGGUUCUGAGAGGAUGAUCCCCCACACUGGUACUGAGACACGGACCAGACUCCUACGGGAGGCAGCAGUAAGGAAUAUUGGUCAAUGGGCGGAAGCCUGAACCAGCCAUGCCGCGUGCAGGAAGACGGCCCUAUGGGUUGUAAACUGCUUUUGUCAGGGGAUAAACCUAUCUACGCGUAGAUAGCUGAAGGUACCUGAAGAAUAAGGAUCGGCUAACUCCGUGCCAGCAGCCGCGGUAAUACGGAGGAUCCGAGCGUUAUCCGGAUUUAUUGGGUUUAAGGGUGCGCAGGCGGACUGGUAAGUCACGGGUGAAAAUCUACGGCUCAACUGUAGACGUGCCUUUGAUACUGCCGGACUAGAGUUAAGAUGGAGUGGGCGGAAUGUGUUGUGUAGCGGUGAAAUGCUUAGAUAUAACACAGAACACCGAUCGCGAAGCAGCUCACUAAACUUUGACUGACGCUCAUGCACGAAAGCGUGGGGAUCAAACAGAUUAGAUACCCUGGUAGUCCACGCUGUAAACGAUGAUCACUCGCUGUUGGCGAUAUACGUCAGUGGCUAGCGAAAGUGAUAGUUGAUCACUGGGGGAGUACGAACGGCAGUGGAAACUCAAUGAUGACUGGGCUGCAACGAGACCAUGUGGAUUAAUUCGAUGA
This 931-nucleotide ribosomal RNA is filed under the name uncultured bacterium. RNAcentral describes it as "bacterial SSU rRNA". It matches the Rfam family "Bacterial small subunit ribosomal RNA", at positions 11 to 957 of the family's 1533-position model. The record is from RNAcentral.